AAAUCCGCCCAGGGUUAGCCGGUACCUAAGUCGAGGUCGAAAGGCGUAGACGAUGGACAACAGGUUAAUAUUCCUGUGCUGCUAUUUAACGUUUGAGCUUGGGAGGACGUGGACACAACGAUUAGCAAACCCAGUAGACAUGGUUUGUUCAAGCUGGAGAUGCCGCUCUAGGAAAAUCCGGAGCAAUAAGGUGUCGAAAGCGAGUACGUUGGCUCUUGGCCUAGAAGUAAUCUGAGUGUCUUCCAAGAAAAGUCUCGUUAGCGAGUUAACAUGGCAACCGUACUAAAACUGACACAGGUAGGCAAGGAGAGAAUCCUAAGGCGCUCGAGAGAACCCUCGUUAAGGAAUUCGGCAAACAUACUCCGUAACUUCGGGAUAAGGAGUGCCUUUUUAACUUCGGUUAAAAAGGUCGCAGUGAAAAAGGUCCGGGCGACUGUUUACUAAAAACACAGGUCUCUGCUAAAAUGUAUAAUUGAUGUAUAGAGACUGACGCGUGCUCGAUGCCAGAAAGUUAAGGGGAUAGGUUAUUUCCUGAGCAAUCAGGAGAGAAGCUUGGAACUGAAGCUCUGGUGAAUGGCGGCUCUAACUAUGAGAGUCCUAAGGUAGCGAAGUUCCUUGUCGGGUAAUUUCCGACGCGCAUGAAUCGCGUAACGACCUGGACACUGUCUCAACGAGGGACUCGGCGAAAUUGUAGUUGUGGUGAAGAUGCCACAUACCCGCGGAAAGACGGAAAGACCCCGUGAACCUUUACUGUAGCUUAUUAUUGGAUUUUGGCGCAGUAUGUGUAGGAUAGGUGGGAGACGAGGAAGUUUCGACGUAAGUUGGAAUGGAGUCAAUGGUGAAAUACCACUCUUACUUUGUUAAAAUUCUAAAGGAAUACCGUGAAUCCGGGUUCUUGACAGUGGUAAGUGGGCAGUUUGACUGGGGCGGUCUCCUCCAAAAAAGUAACGGAGGAGUCCAAAGGCUCCCUCAAUGCGGUUGGCAACCGCAUGUAGAGUGUAAAGGCAUAAGGGAGCUUAACUGCGAGACCUAUAAGUCGAGCAGGUGUGAAAGCAGGGCUUAGUGAUCCGGCGGUUUCUGAGUGGAAAGGCCGUCGCUCAACAGAUAAAAGGUACUCCGGGGAUAACAGGCUGAUCUCCUCCGAGCGUUCAUAGCGGCGAGGAGGUUUGGCACCUCGAUGUCGGCUCAUCGCAUCCUGGGGCUGAAGAAGGUCCCAAGGGUUUGGGAGUUCACCAAUUAAAGCGGUACGCGAGCUGGGUUUAGACCGUCGUGAGACAGGUCGGUCCCUAUCUUCCGUGGGCGUACGAUAUUUGAGAAAAUCUGCCUCUAGUACGAGAGGAUCGAGGUGGACGAACCUAUGGUGAGUCAGUUGUUGUGCUAACAGCAUGGCUGAGUAGCUAAGUUCGGAAAGGAUAAACGCUGAAAGCAUAUAAGCGUGAAGCCUGCUUUAAGACUAGAUAUCGUUCUCUAAUUUAUUAGGGUGAAGACAUCUUAAAGACUAUGAGAUUGAUAGGCCAGGUGUGUAAGUCCGGUAACGGAUUCAGCUAACUGGUACUAAUUUGUCGAAAAGCUUGAUCAC
This 1579-nucleotide ribosomal RNA is filed under the name marine metagenome. Its description in RNAcentral is "bacterial LSU rRNA". It matches the Rfam family "Bacterial large subunit ribosomal RNA", at positions 1366 to 2925 of the family's 2925-position model. The record is from RNAcentral.